This is a long non-coding RNA of Hyaena hyaena (striped hyena), 1031 nucleotides long. RefSeq lists it as uncharacterized. The transcript is spliced from 2 exons. Lineage: Eukaryota; Metazoa; Chordata; Mammalia; Carnivora; Hyaenidae. The record is from RefSeq and is a predicted model, not a curated record.
CGGAAGCUUGCUGAUGGCGGACGGCCGGUACUAUGUUCUUCUGUAACAGAAGAGUUAUCUCACCUAUCCGUGUCGCCAGCGCCCGAGGGGCCGGUGACCAUCGACGAUGCGGACGUGGGUUUCCGAAACGAAGAGUAGACUCGCCUGUCCUGCCCCCAGAAGGCUCUUUACACGGACUGAUGCUGAAGAAUUAUGGGAACGCCAUCGCACUGAGUAAGGACUUCGCUGUGACCCGACUGGUGUGACUGGAAGGCUUACCUGCAGUUUCUCACUAACCGUGGCUCGGUCUUUUCUCCACAUUUCCCCGCUCGUGUGUGGUGGGACGCUUCAGGGUCUGGAGAACUUCUAGAGCUUCAGACCUUCCGAAGAGCUGAGCUCAAGCUUCUUCUGUUGCCGGUUUUUGUUUUAGUCAAUAUUUAUUUCUUCUUUAUAUUAUUUAUUUUUAUGUCAGACGAAAGCCCUGGAAUUUGCUUGUGACGUGGCUUGAAGUAUCCUUGAUUGGUAUGCCAAGCCCUUUUUUGGUGGAAGUGCUGCUGGAUGGGGCUGUGCAGGCCCUGAUUCCCAGUGUUUUGACAGAGAGAGUCUUGAAGUGCUGCUGUGCCCCAAGGCAAGAUCUUUCUUUUUCUUUCUUUUUUUUUUUCCCCUUAAGUAAACUGUACCCCCAACAUGAAGCUGAAACUCAGGACCCUAAGAUCAAGAGUCAUUAACAGUGGGCAGUUUUCUAAGUGUUCUCAGUGCUUGCUUUUCUCCUACCUGGAGCUCUGUGUAAGCAUUCCCCACAGCAGGAUCUGGGCGUGGGACUGACUGGUAGGUGUCUAGAGUGACUGCCCAUGGCCACUGUCAUCUUUUCAUUCCAGACACAAAAAGGAUUUGUCUACUGGGCCCAUCCACACCUCAGAGUAUAUUCUGUCCGUCAGAGAGAGCAUAUGACUCAAACUUCCCCCAAAUAUGUGAAAUGAGUCUAGUUCCUUUUGUCAUUAUAGUUCUGUAUCAGAAUGAUUUGAUUAUAUUAAAUUUGGGGGAGACAUUAA